GACGAAUCUAUUGCCUGCCGAGCCCGCCGCUUACCGGCGCCGGGGGAGGGCAGCAAGAAGAGGAAUCC
Regulatory RNA element from Acidovorax sp. Leaf160, 68 nucleotides. It matches the Rfam family "ilvH RNA". NCBI's taxonomy places the organism in Bacteria, Pseudomonadati, Pseudomonadota, Betaproteobacteria, Burkholderiales, Comamonadaceae. The record is from Rfam.